UACGGAGGGUGCAAGCGUUGUUCGGAAUCAUUGGGCGUAAAGCGCGUGUAGGCGGCUUGGCAAGUCAGUUGUGAAAGCCCGGGGCCCAACCCCGGAAUUGCAUCUGAAACUGCCUGGCUAGAGUCCCGGAGAGGAAGGCAGAAUUCCCGGUGUAGGGGUGAAAUCCGUAGAUAUCGGGAGGAAUACCAGCGGCGAAGGCGGCCUUCUGGACGGUGACUGACGCCGAGACGCGAAAGCGUGGGGAGCAAACAGG
This 253-nucleotide ribosomal RNA is filed under the name uncultured bacterium. Its description in RNAcentral is "partial 16S ribosomal RNA". It matches the Rfam family "Bacterial small subunit ribosomal RNA", at positions 524 to 776 of the family's 1533-position model. The record is from RNAcentral.